RNAcentral lists this long non-coding RNA (1259 nucleotides) under Anser brachyrhynchus (Pink-footed goose). RNAcentral describes it as "lncRNA (ENSABRG00000004155.1)". Lineage: Eukaryota; Metazoa; Chordata; Aves; Anseriformes; Anatidae. The record is from RNAcentral.
GGUUUAAAGGAGCUUGAAGACGUUCCUCAGAUUUUCAGCAUGACCUGACGCUGUGGUGCUACUCAAAAUACGUGAGCAGUGGUGAGAAGUUAACCCUCCAUUUAUGUCACCAGCUGCCAGCACAUCCUUGGCUGAGCUCCACAGCUCUGUGGUGGUGGCACUGGGCAUUUCAAGACACUCUGCAUGGCUCAGACACACAGUAUGGGGGGCAGAUCAGAUGUUUAGCAGGCUUAGAGAAGAUAACUCCAUAUACCAGGGCACCGGGGAGCCAUUACUCCAUGAAGAUAUCUGCAACACCCUUGGAUGGCUCCAUUCCCUUUCCCCUACCAAAGACCGGUCUUUGGCUGGAGUCAAAAGUGAGUGCAGUGACUCUGUAAUUAAUUCUCAUCUUCCCUGGGACCGAGGAAGGGAUUUACGGUCCCUGAGGGCAGGGGAUGUUUUCUGAAGGAUGCGGCCCUGGAGAACUGGAGGCUGGUGAAUGCCUGAAAUGUCGCUUGAAACUCAGGGGUGAAGCCACGAUUGGUGGGAAAAAAACAGCAGCUCUGCAGGAGAGAAAUGCUCAUGGGAGAGGGUGUACCCGGAGAGCAGUGGAGGAAGCAUGUGUGAGGGAGCAGCUGCAGAAACAGGCUGUGGGGAGGUGGCAAACGCUUUGGGAAUGAACCCUGGAAAAGAGAAACUCAGAAAAGGGAAAAAUGCAGUGACAGGAGGGGAGAUGAAACGAGGGCUGCCAGUGGAAACAGCCUGGGGAUGAGGCUGUGUGGGGACAGGAGCACUUGGAUCUGGUGAUAUCAGGGUGUUUCAGUCACUGUGGGAUAUGAUCGGGCUUACACCGUGUGAGGAGAACCUAAGCAAAACCACUGGGAAAGAGCCUAAAGCCAAGGCAGCUUUAAUUUAGGGAUCUCAGCCAAAAGUUAGACAGGAUGAUUCUGGAUAUCUGUACAGAUAGAGAAUACAUACGGCAGAGUGCUGCACAGCAGAGCCUAGCAUUACCAUGGUGAGAGUUGGUAGGUGAGUCAUCUCAGAAGGCACCAGAGAUGGCUGUGCACUCCGAUGUACAACGAACACCAUUUAUUGCAUAAUUAGAAGUGCACACAAUGUGCUAACUGGUGUGUUGGCCGUGGUUCCUGCUAUUGCACAUUUUAAUUCAUCUGUCUGGAAACAACUAUCUUAUGCUAUUAGCUCUAAGAUAAUGCUGGUGUGAAAUAGUGAAUGACAAAAUACUGCUGGAAAACUAUAAGCUGUUAAAUGCACAUGUUAAA